ACAUGGCCUCAAGUUUCCAAGAUUGGACUACGAGCGAUCAAAUUUUUCACGACUUGUAAAUAGUUUUUCCUCAUUUGAAAAAAAAAAAAAAACCAACAUCCCAGCCAUCUAUUGUCUUGCGAAGAGCCAUGGAGCGGCAUCUUGAUAAAUGGCAACGUUCUCGUCACUCAGCUGCACGUGACAAGAAGGCCUCAUUGGGAAGGGUUGAGCAACGUUUGUGAUGUUCCCACAAAAGAAGAAAAAAGAAAGAUGCCUUCUUGGAGUGAAGGAAGAUGGGAGGACAGCAAAGUAUGCAAGGACGCCAACAACAACAAGACGCGCCCCCAGCCGACAUUCCACAAUUGCAAGAGCGUGGAGGAGAGCUGCCGCAGUGCAUGAUGGGAAACAGGAAGGUAGACGACAUGCGCUACCUGAUCUCGUGUACCAACUGGUACUGAUGGUGAUGCGUUCAGGGGCCCUCCGGGUGGUGGCGACCAGUGCGCUGACAUACUUCCACGAAAUGCAACGAAAAUAAAAAACAAACCAAUACAAUAUUGCUGAAUAAUAAUCCAUUAUAGCAAUAUUAAUAACCUCUAGCAAAGUCCAGAUUGGAUAAGCACAACAUUAGCGAUCGCUGUGGCGGUCAUGUGAAGUCAGAUUUUUUUUUUUUAAAUAAAUCGAUCAACGUCGGACUUUAUUGAAGUGAAAGUAGAAAAUCAAUGUUGAAUUGAACUGUUUGUGUAAUAAAAACCGUCAAGUGUCGCUUAACC
Long non-coding RNA from Syngnathoides biaculeatus (alligator pipefish), 749 nucleotides. RefSeq lists it as uncharacterized. The transcript has 3 exons. The record is from RefSeq and is a predicted model, not a curated record. NCBI's taxonomy places the organism in Eukaryota, Metazoa, Chordata, Actinopteri, Syngnathiformes, Syngnathidae.